AGCCAUUGCCCAGCAGCCGCAGAACCAUGUCUGCUCUGAGCUGGGUACUGUCUGUUCAGAACAAACACCGGUUUCCGGCAUGCAGCCAAGUGGCC
This 95-nucleotide microRNA precursor is filed under the name Ictidomys tridecemlineatus (thirteen-lined ground squirrel). Its description in RNAcentral is "Spermophilus tridecemlineatus (thirteen-lined ground squirrel) mir-589 microRNA precursor family". It matches the Rfam family "mir-589 microRNA precursor family". Lineage: Eukaryota; Metazoa; Chordata; Mammalia; Rodentia; Sciuridae. The record is from Rfam by way of RNAcentral.